GACGUAGGGCGCGAGCGUUGUCCGGAUUUAUUGGGCGUAACGAGCUCGUAGGCGGCUUGUUGCGUCGACCGUGAAAACCCGCGGCUUAACUGUGGGCUUGCGGUCGAUACGGGCGGGCUGGAGUUCGGUAGGGGAGACUGGAAUUCCUGGUGUAGCGGUGAAAUGCGCAGAUAUCAGGAGGAACACCGGUGGCGAAGGCGGGUCUCUGGGCCGAUACUGACGCUGAGGAGCGAAAGCGUGGGGAGCGAACAGG
This 253-nucleotide ribosomal RNA is filed under the name uncultured bacterium. Its description in RNAcentral is "partial 16S ribosomal RNA". It matches the Rfam family "Bacterial small subunit ribosomal RNA", at positions 524 to 776 of the family's 1533-position model. The record is from RNAcentral.